This 646-nucleotide ribosomal RNA is filed under the name uncultured bacterium. RNAcentral describes it as "bacterial SSU rRNA". It matches the Rfam family "Bacterial small subunit ribosomal RNA", at positions 94 to 760 of the family's 1533-position model. The record is from RNAcentral.
AGUGGCGCACGGGUGAGUAAUAUAUAGGUAACGUGCCCUAGAGAAGAGGAUAACAGUUGGAAACGAUUGCUAAGACUCUAUAUGCCUUUAAGACUUAAGUCUGCAAGGGAAAUAUUUAUAGCUCUAGGAUCGGCCUGUACGGUAUCAGUUAGUUGGUGAGGUAAUGGCUCACCAAGACAAUGACGCCUAACUGGUUUGAGAGGAUGAUCAGUCACACUGGAACUGAGACACGGUCCAGACUCCUACGGGAGGCAGCAGUGGGGAAUAUUGCACAAUGGACGAAAGUCUGAUGCAGCAACGCCGCGUGGAGGAUGACACAUUUCGGUGCGUAAACUCCUUUUAUAUGGGAAGAUAAUGACGGUACCAUAUGAAUAAGCACCGGCUAACUCCGUGCCAGCAGCCGCGGUAAUACGGAGGGUGCAAGCGUUACUCGGAAUCACUGGGCGUAAAGAGCGUGUAGGCGGGUAGUUAAGUCAGAAGUGAAAUCCAAUAGCUCAACUAUUGAACUGCUUUUGAAACUGAUUACCUAGAAUAUGGGAGAGGUAGAUGGAAUUUCUGGUGUAGGGGUAAAAUCCGUAGAGAUCAGAAGGAAUACCGAUUGCGAAGGCGAUCUACUGGAACAUUAUUGACGCUGAGACGCGAAAGC